AUACGGAGGAUCCGAGCGUUAUCCGGAUUUAUUGGGUUUAAAGGGUGCGCAGGCGGCCAUUUAAGUCAGCGGUUAAAUCGUGGGGCUCAACCCCAUUCUGCCGUUGAUACUGGGUGGCUUGAUUGCGGUCGAGGUUGGCGGAAUUCGUUGUGUAGCGGGGAAAUGCAUAGAUAUGACGAAGAACACCGAUUGCGUAGGCAGCUGACCAGACCGCAAAUGACGCUCAUGCACGAAAGUGCGGGGAUCGAACAGGAUUAGAUACCCUGGUAGUCCGCACAGUAAACGAUGGAUACUAGGUGUGGGUGUCGCAGGGCAUCCGUGCCGCAGCUAACGCGUUAAGUAUCCCGCCUGGGGACUACGGUCGCAAGACUGAAACUCAAAGGAAUUGGCGGGG
RNAcentral lists this ribosomal RNA (394 nucleotides) under uncultured bacterium. RNAcentral describes it as "partial 16S ribosomal RNA". It matches the Rfam family "Bacterial small subunit ribosomal RNA", at positions 523 to 918 of the family's 1533-position model. The record is from RNAcentral.